AGAGCGAGCGCGGCUGGAGGAGGGAGGAGACUGGAGGCGGGAGCAGGAGGAGGGCAAGGAGGCGGGGCGGGCGGUCCGACCCAGGGCGGGUGGAAGGUGCGCCUCUCUUGGGGAACGGGCGGACCGCAGCCUCCCCGCGCCCCCAGCCUCCGCCUUGGCGCCCUCCGCUCUUUUCCUCCCGGCCUCCGCGCUGGCACAGGUCAGAGGGGCCCGGCGUCUGGUGUCUUCCGGACCCGGGGUAGGAGGCUGGCAGAAGUGGCAGGGUCGGUGCACGCGGGAAGCUGGGACGCGGCGCUGGCGGGUCCGCGGGCACCGAAGCGGGACGUCUCUCCUGCGGACUGCGGGCCUGGGGCUGAGCCCUCGGGUCUGAGACAGCGGGCGCGAGCAGAUCUCUCCUGCCGCCCAAAAGCCCCAAAGAGAGCGUGAGUGGGCGUGUUGGGGGCGCCAGAGCAUAAUAAACCACACCCCCUACCCAGCGCCCGAGAGGAAAGAAGCCAAGUGGAGGGCGUGGGGUGAGCGGGAGAUUGCUCCGAACCCCUUCCCCAAAUGUUUUCCCGCCCCGACUGGACUCCGUCGGGCCUGCGGAGUCCGAGGAGGCGCGCGUGUCCAGGUGGCGAGCGCCCCCUACCGCCGCCUGCGUGCCAAGCUCGUCUGCAGCCCGCCGGAGACCCGCAUCCUUGCCAAGUCCUGGUGGCGCUGAGAAGGUUCCCAAGCCCGCGGGCGCAAGCGAGUGCGCAGAGCCUGGAUUGACGACUUCAGCUUUCCUGUUUCUCCUGCAGCUGCCUCAGUUUCCUCCAUUAAGGGCAAAGAGGGAUGUUUGGCAAUGUUUGGGGACAUUUUUGACUGUCACCGUGGGAGGAAGAUGCUACUGACAUCUACCGGGUAGAGGCCAAAGAUGCUACCCAACACCUUACAAGGCCCAGGACAGCCACCCUCAGUGAAGAUGCAUCAGACCCAAAACACUAAUAAGGCUGAGAUGGAGAAACCGUGCACAGAAUGGUGCAACCCUGGUUCAGUCCUGGGGUCCCUUUUCUUCUUCACCUGAACCCUUCUUGGGUAAUUAAGUUUAGCCCCUGGCACCCACCUGACUCUACAAAGUACAUCUCCUGCCCUGAACUUCAGGCUCGUGCAGCCCACAUGCUCCCUGACUCAACCAUUUGAUGUCUAAUAGCCUCAGACUUAAACACACCCAUUUUCCCUGAACUGUGCAUGCCUCUCCCCUCAGUUCUCAAUGUUAAGUGGUGCCCUCACCCCCCACAUACUGUUGCAAGUGUAGUUGCCUCAACCUCCAAAAACAGUCCCAAAGCAUCUGGCUAUGCCCCUUUCCAUGACACCCACUCUCACUUGUACAAUUGUAGUGGCUUCCAACUGUUCUUCCUGAUUCCAAUUCAUUUUCCAGGGAGCAUCUGUAAUGACUUUUUAAGUUUUAAACCCAGUCUUCUCACAUCCCUUCUUAGAAACUUCCAGCACCUGCUCCCUGUUGCUCUUGGAAUAAAACCAUCACUCUCUGGCUGACCAGGUCCUGUCUGUGUCCCCACCCAUUUCAUCUCCCCACUCACACUGGCCUGACACCUUGCUCCUUUCUGCCUCAGGGACUUUGCACUGGCUGCUCUUUCUCCAGAUGUUCCCAGGGUAGCACCCUCCUGCCAUUCAGGUCUCAGUCGAAAUGCCAACAACCUGUAGAGAUGCUCCCCCCUUACCUCACUUACCAAUCCCAGAUGCUUUCUUAUUUUAUCUGUUUACUGUCCAUCCCAACCCCCAUCCUUGAAUAAAAAUAAACCCCAUGAAAAUAGAAA
Non-coding RNA from Vicugna pacos (alpaca), 1796 nucleotides. The record is from RefSeq and is a predicted model, not a curated record. Lineage: Eukaryota; Metazoa; Chordata; Mammalia; Artiodactyla; Camelidae.